RNAcentral lists this ribosomal RNA (497 nucleotides) under uncultured bacterium. RNAcentral's name for it is "partial 16S ribosomal RNA". It matches the Rfam family "Bacterial small subunit ribosomal RNA", at positions 28 to 507 of the family's 1533-position model. The record is from RNAcentral.
GAUGAACGCUGGCGGCGUGCCUAAUACAUGCAAGUCGAGCGAACGGACGAGAAGCUUGCUUCUCUGAUGUUAGCGGCGGACGGGUGAGUAACACGUGGAUAACCUACCUAUAAGACUGGGAUAACUUCGGGAAACCGGAGCUAAUACCGGAUAAUAUUUUGAACCGCAUGGUUCAAAAGUGAAAGACGGUCUUGCUGUCACUUAUAGAUGGAUCCGCGCUGCAUUAGCUAGUUGGUAAGGUAACGGCUUACCAAGGCAACGAUGCAUAGCCGACCUGAGAGGGUGAUCGGCCACACUGGAACUGAGACACGGUCCAGACUCCUACGGGAGGCAGCAGUAGGGAAUCUGCCGCAAUGGGCGAAAGCCUGACGGAGCAACGCCGCGUGAGUGAUGAAGGUCUUCGGAUCGUAAAACUCGGUUAUUAGGGAAGAACAUAUGUGUAAGUAACUGUGCACAUCUUGACGGUACCUAAUCAGAAAGCCACGGCUAACUACGUG